This 321-nucleotide unclassified non-coding RNA is filed under the name uncultured Conocybe. RNAcentral's name for it is "sequence contains ITS2". The record is from RNAcentral. Lineage: Eukaryota; Fungi; Basidiomycota; Agaricomycetes; Agaricales; Bolbitiaceae.
AACGCACCUUGCGCUCCUUGGUAUUCCUUGGAGCAUGCCUGUUUGAGUGUCAUUAAAUUAUCAACCUCUUUUGGAUUUGUAUUCAUGGGAGUGUUGGACUUGGGAGUUUUGCGAGCGCUUUUUGAGCACUAGCUCUCCUCAAAAACAUUAGCUGGAACGUCUCCUCAGACUGUAUCAUGGUGUGAUAAUUAUCUGCGCUAUUGAUUAGGCUGACUUGUGUUGAGACUCUGCUUAUAACUGUCCUACAUAUUGGACAAGAACACUUGUGUUCUUCUUUGACAACUUGACCUCAAAUCAGGUAGGACUACCCGCUGAACUUAA